AGAAUCAACGCUGGCGGCGUGCCUAACACAUGCAAGUCGAACGAGAAAGGGGAGCAAUCCCUGAGUAAAGUGGCGCACGGGUGAGUAACACGUGACUAACCUACCCUGGAGUGGGGGAUAACUGAGGGAAACCUUAGCUAAUACCGCAUAAUACCCACGGGUCAAAGGAGCAAUUCGCUUUGGGAGGGGUCGCGGCCGAUUAGUUAGUUGGCGGGGUAAUGGCCCACCAAGACGAUGAUCGGUAUCC
Molecule: ribosomal RNA, 247 nt
Filed under: uncultured bacterium
Lineage: Bacteria
Description: partial small subunit ribosomal RNA
Rfam family: Bacterial small subunit ribosomal RNA
Source: RNAcentral